This 86-nucleotide transfer RNA is filed under the name Tenacibaculum singaporense. RNAcentral's name for it is "Tenacibaculum sp. DSM 106434 tRNA-Leu". It matches the Rfam family "tRNA". Rfam says of the family: Transfer RNA (tRNA) molecules are approximately 80 nucleotides in length. Their secondary structure includes four short double-helical elements and three loops (D, anti-codon, and T loops). Lineage: Bacteria; Pseudomonadati; Bacteroidota; Flavobacteriia; Flavobacteriales; Flavobacteriaceae. The record is from RNAcentral.
GCACGUAUGGCGGAAUUGGUAGACGCGCAGGCUUGAGGGGCUUGUUCACAACGUGAGUGCAGGUUCGACUCCUGUUACGUGCACAA